UUGACACUAAGGGCGGAGUGACAUAAUUUCAGGAGUGAGGGUUAGGGAGAGGUUUCCCCCCUCCCUCUGGUGUUCUUAGUAAGCCUGGAAGCUAAUCACUAAGAGUAUCACCAGUAUGAUGACGUGCUUCAUCAUAACCCUUUCCUUAUU
RNAcentral lists this small RNA (150 nucleotides) under Escherichia coli N40513. RNAcentral's name for it is "QUAD RNA". It matches the Rfam family "Short Intergenic Abundant RNA". Rfam says of the family: This family contains multiple ncRNA from E. coli that were identified in a large scale screen of E. coli, were they were called candidates 43,55 and 61. These RNAs have also been identified by other groups and called QUAD RNAs. The record is from RNAcentral. RNAcentral also lists the same sequence under 1 other name. Lineage: Bacteria; Pseudomonadati; Pseudomonadota; Gammaproteobacteria; Enterobacterales; Enterobacteriaceae.